RNAcentral lists this long non-coding RNA (8332 nucleotides) under Fragaria vesca (wild strawberry). Its description in RNAcentral is "long non-coding RNA (FVES_LNC000720)". Lineage: Eukaryota; Viridiplantae; Streptophyta; Magnoliopsida; Rosales; Rosaceae. The record is from RNAcentral.
AUAUAUAUAUAUAUAUAUAUAUAUAUAUAUAUAUAUAUAUAUAUACAGGGCCCUUCCAAUAAGGGAUCCCUAUUUUUUGUCACUUUUAGGGAUAAACCUACACCAUUAGAUCUGUUUUUUAAUGGGCUUUGAUGAAUGAGAUUAAAACAAAAAACUUAACACUUAUGUCAAACCUACACCGUUCAAGAUCAUUAAAAAUAAAUCAAACAUUUGGAUGACUUAAUGAUCACCAAAUUUUCUGAAAAUUAGCAGAAGUGAUCUACUCAUAUACACCUACAAAUUGAACAGUGGAGAUGUGAUUUUGUGAUUGGGAAGUUUGUCAAAUACCUUAUCCCUAGAAAUAAACAAAAAAAGGAUCCCUCAUUGGAUGAGCCCUAUAUAUAUAUAUAUAUAUAUAUAUAUAUAUAUAUAAGGAUCUGUUGAAGGAAUUUACAUUCCUAUCCUUGAUAAUGUGUCCUGACCGAAUCUUCUCCUUAUUAGACUAGAAUAUCUCUUAGAUAUCUAUCUCUGAUUUACAGGGAUUCUGUAUGUAAUGCCUAUAUAAAGACCAAUCUAUCAAUGAAUGAGUAGACCAUUAAUUAUUCUCGUAUUCACAUACUCUUUAUCACGUUAUCAUGCACUUUGUUCUAACCCUAUAGCCAAUAACCCACCAUUUGUUUUUCGAAACCCUAAAAGCCAAAAGAGUCUCUUGCAUCCUCUAUCCAACCGCCGCCGCUGUCCGCUCGCUUCCCCGGCCACUGUUGUCCGACAACCUCCAGCAGCAAAUCUUCCAGCUGCCGUCUGCCAUUGAUUCUUGGCUUCCUUCAGCUUAAUUUUUCAGCUUUUUCUUUCAAAUUUUGAAAGUUUUUAUAGCUUAUAUUUAUAUGGUGAAUAUGGCUAACCAUAUAUUUUGUUUUCCAUGACAUAAUCACGCGACGAAUCACAAGGAAUUACGCGAGCAACUUCGCUGCAAGCACGUGGAAUUAAGCUUGAAAAAUUGCAAAGCAGCUCCUAUAAAUGCAGUUUAUUUAGCAAACUACCAAGUAAGCUUUAAUAUUACAGUUAUUUACUUUUGAAUAACUCGGGGGGAUAAAAUCCUUUCUCCUUUCUCCAUCUCCAUUCUAUGUUUGGGAUUUUGUGAGUGCAGGUAAAAAUCCCAGAAUUUUAUUCGCGGGCCAAGAAGUGUGUUUUGAUCACUCUUGUUUCUUUGUCCAGGUUAUGUGUGAUCAUCCCUGACCUUUCUCCGAAUUGUGUUUGAUCAAUCCGAGGCUUUUUUUUAGAAUUGUGUUUGAUCAAUUUACGGCUUUUCUGGAUUGUGUAUGAUCAAUCUGAAGGACAAACCAUUAAAAACAUUGUUUGUGACCUCUAUGGAGUCUCAUAACAGUUUGGUUUUGUAUGCAAGAGUAAUGUAACAUUCUGCUCCUUUGAGUUUUGACGUACUCGAUGCCUAAGGCGAAUCUUCGCUUGGUAUCUGUGGAACCUUUCAUUGGAAAGGAUUAAACCACAUGUUUUGACCCCUAGGCUAACAAGCCUAGAUGCCGAGAUUUCACAUCUCAUGUGUUCAAAGUUUUUGACGUGCACAUCGACAAAAGCCUUCAAUAACAAUCUGUGCAAAAAGUAAUGACCACAAAGUACUGUGGAAUGCACUUAUGGAGCGUUUCUUGAAACGUUCAUCUAACUUGUUGAGUUAUUAAGUCAAGUGGAUUGCUUACCACUUUAAUUUACUACAUAUGGUCGAUGAUAUUUUGUGGCAUCAUGUUCCAUAAUCUUUAGCGGAUUCGAUCAUCAUCAAGUUCUCUACGCCCUCCAAGUUGGUUUGGAAUUACCAACGAGACUUGAUUUUGAUCAUACAAUUGCAAACGAGAAUUGUAUAUACGCUAAUGUGAUAAACGUAUUUGGGAUUGUCCCCUAAUAUGGGGACAACAAUAUGGGUCACGGCAACGGCAUUUCACGGCAACGGUAUAAAAUGCUAUGCCGAUGUCUAGAAAAGAGGGGGAGGUGUCGCCGGCCCUAAUGGACCGGCGACACUCCCGAUCUAGACAUCAAUCUGUCAAAACUACUCGUGCCAGCUCCGAACAAUAACAAUGCAACCGUAUGGAUCUCCAGAUCACUGGUUGAGGAGUUGUCGAGCUCAUUCUCAAAUUAUGAAUGCAUACAAAAAGGUACGGAAAAUCAAUAUGAGGACAAGAACGUUAUCCUCAUGAUCGCGGAUUUCAAAGAUUCGGAUCCAGCUCUAGCUACCUCUGACUUUAACGUCAUCGGCUAAAUCGACUUUGAUUUUCUUUCCAAGCUAUAUAUAAUAAGAUGUCGUAUUUAUGUCUUUAUAUUACUCGAGACCUCGAUGUACUCACCUUAGCAAUAAUGAAUGCUUUGAGAAUUUUUUCGAAGUUAUGAAACUAUUUUCCUCUUAUGGUUCGUAUUGAUUUACAAACAAGAUGUACAGUUUUACAUCGUCCUUAGAAGCAUGGCAUAUUUACAAUCUACAUGGUUAGAUUGUGCCGUUUUGGUCUCUUCCAAGUGAAGAUGACGCACGGCCUUGCAUCCUCAAGGAGGAUCGCCCAUGUGUUUUCCGGUUAAGUCUUCUACCCUAUAGCGGAUUUUCCAUAAUCAACUGUUCAACUAGGCUCAUCCAAGCUCAGUGUGAUGUCUUAGAAUUGUCCGAAAUUAAGGAGAUAGUGGUUUCAAGUGUGCCUCGCACUACCGACCAUUCACUGACAUGCCUGGUCAUACUGACUUGGAGUUACCGAAAGCUUUUGAUUUUGGAUCCUCCUAUGCUAUUAAACCAAUUUCCGUCUUGCAAAAAGACGUUGAAGACUUAUCAAAACCAGACAACAAUCAUCAUAAUCGAAUCCUCUAGGUCCUCUGAAUUAGUUUAUGUUCAUGUCUGGAAGCUUUCGCUAACUAGUCAUGGAGUUUACGACCUUAGAAAGACUAAAAGGACUUGAUUUUGAUCAUAUACACAUCAUUUUGGCUUCGGCUUAUGCCCACAUGCCAUCCGCAAGCUUCAAAGCUUUGCCAAUGCCAAAUCUGCGAAAAACAGCAUUCUUUCCCUUCUAAACUGUCAACUUCGUUUGAGCUUUGUGAGCAGCUCCGAACGAACUAGAUAGUGAGUUUUAUAUCGUUGGAAAGCUCUACGAGUCUAGUUUUCAGAAUCUUUUGUGGUUUGUCCAUAUCUAUUUUAACGAAGACGUUAUGGCUGUUUUAGUGUGCAAAAGUCAUUCUGCGCGGAAAAUUUUAAGCACUCUCGGGAUUGCAGUUUUUUGUAGAUUCUUUCAAUCCUUCUAAAUGGUUCAAGUGAAGCUAUUUACUCUCCUAUCUACUUCAUUUUGUAGAUCUAUCUCAUAGAGACAUCGAGUGUUUCGCAGAUAGUGGAACAAUCCACAACAUUCUAAAGAACCGGCAACUAUCUCUGAAUUUUGUGCCUUGUAAAUCUUCUGUGACUACAAUGAUUGAAUCAUACCGGUCAUUUAGGGACGCGGUUUAGCUUGAAUCUUGAUGCCUCAUGGCACCAUGAUCAAUGUCACAGAUGCCCUCUAUGCAUUGAGAGGCAACCGAACCAUAUUGAGCUUUAAAGACAUUAUUGCUAAUAGUUUUCAUUUGAAAACACAUUGUGAGAAUGAAUAAGAGUUCUUUUGUGUAUACCUUCUCAUAAAUUCGGACUGAAAUGCAUAUGAGAGAAGUUUAUGAGUCAAUCUAGUGGACUGUAUGUCACUAUGAUUCGAAUAUCGAAUCACAUGUUGUCGCCAAACAUGAUAUUUGGGACACCGACUCAUAUAGACUUUUGUUUGACCAAAUCGGUCAUCCUGAAAGAGAUAUAAUGGUCCAAAUUUUGAGAAAUUCUCAUGGACAUCCAUCCUUCCACUCAAAACAAAGACAUUUGAGAUCUAGCUUCAUCAUGAAGCAUGAUGGUGACGCCAUAGUUAUAAAUGGCGGCACCCGGGGGACAUUGACUUCACUCGAACUUCACCCGAACACGACUCCAACUUCCUAGAAGCCGCCCGGUCAAUUUCUCAAACAAUUGAGGUGCACAGGCCUUCCCUUGAUGUCUCAUUGGCCCCUUACAAUGCUCAUUGCUCGUUUCGAAAGCCUAUUCUUUAGCUAAAUUAGGAGUGAGACCCUCCUACGUUAAAUGACACAAAAAUGAACAUUCUAUUCUUACAUCAAACUAUGUAGAUAGAUACAACCAACUUGCGGACACAUUUUUAUGUUUUAUGGUGUUGGUUGAAGUGUUAACACACUGGUCACGUGUUACACUAUUAUCUACUCUUUAUGCUGCUUAUGCUUUUACGGGCUCACUACCCAUUCUUUAAAGAAGUUUAUCGGGAUAUAAGUUGAAGUGUCAUGUACCCCAUGUUCACACGUAAUAUGGUCUCACCGAGGCUACGACCAAGCAACUUUAGCUUGUCGCUCGAACAUUAUUGAUGCACACCAAUCUUUCUAUUACGACUUAGGGCUAUGCAAUAUUUGCAUGCAACUUUACUAUUCAUCUAUGACCCACCAUCAUUGAAUAUUUUUGUACUACAGCUCGUGACUGUAUACAAGGAUUGACACGAAAUUGCAAUCCUUGAGCUCAAACAUGAUUGAAACGGAUCUCCAAUCUUUGAGCUCGGCUAGAUAUUAUUUCUAGGUGCCAAAUCGCAUUGCUACUGCGUAUAAUGAUGGGUCAUUUGAGAUGAAUAAGUAUUUAAGUUUAGGUUGGAUAUGAACCUCCACCUAUAAUCCGCCUAUGUAGAAACCUUGUCAGGCGAACUCUUUAACCGCUAUAUUGCGGAUUGUCACUUUGAUGAGACAAUAUUCCCGCCGUUAGGGAGAGAUAAGUGGAAUGACGUGAAUUGUCGUGGUUUGUCCCCACUAAGUCUCAUCUUGAUCUCAAAUGCUUAAAGUGUUAAAUUGACGAGAUCACAUGCUGCAAAUAUGUCUGCAAGGAUCGAUGUCUUACAAAAGGACAUGGCGAGACCAAAAAGAGUUGGUCUUGACGCCAUCACCAUGGAUGGUGAUAUGGUGACGCCAUAUAGUGGCAAAAUUGGUGUCACAAGGCCGUGUGGCUCCCCAAAAAAAGGGAGGCUCUUAGGUUUGAUACUUUCUCUCAUUAGGCAGAAAGUGAGCUUGGCAAAACCUGAUCCAUUGAUCAGUGAUACUCAAAUCCGUCUCAUGAAGUUUGGAUUGUGAUUAUCGUUAGGGGAUGCCUCAAUGUCAAAUCCAAUCCAUAUAGAGAUCUCUACGAGUAUUACACUAGUGUACAUGAGGAUGUAAGAUAAUGAGUCUACUAUCGAACCACCCUUUGUUGAUGAAUAUCCACUUAGUUGAUUGGCCUAAUGGAAAGAUGCGAUCUAGCAUAACAAAGAGAUAGGUCCUUGAGCAGGUGAUGUCGACACCGCAAGGUAAACCCUAUCAACUGUGUCUUUGUUAGAUUGCUUAGUGAGAACAAGAGUUUAGACUCACCUUAUGACGCAAGGUCUCUCACUAACAUGCACUGGGAUCGACUACAAUGAGAUAUGCUCUUGUAAUGGAUGUCAUUGCACUCCACUACUUUGUCAGUUUGGUAGUUUCCAAAUAACUGAACAUGCAGCCUAUGAAUGUGGUCAUAAUAACAUCUCUAUUGGAUCAGAGAUAUACAUGAAGGUUUUAAAUGGACUUCAUUCAUCCGAAUCAAGUUGCUCCAGACCAUAGGAGCACGCGUUUGCUAAAGGUAUUUAAAUGCACAUGGACUCUACUUGAUUUGGAAGGGAUAUGGUGAAAUUAUGCCUUUGUGUGUUCAUUCCAGAUUUACAUGGACUCUUGAUGGAUCAAGAGAUGCCAAUAUGUAUCAACAUCCGAGGAAAAAGAUCUUAGGAAGACACGGUCUCGAUAAGGCACUCGAUGACUGUAUUGAUGACGAUUUUUCAUCAAUUGGCUUAGGCGCUCUAUAACUAGUGAGGCCUACAUAUACUCCCACGAUUAGUCAAAGUCUUUGCUCUAAAGAGAGAUCCGUUGUUAUUUUGUCUAAGAAAGAUGACAAAUAUGUGUUAAGAGAUGGAGUUCCCAUCUAAGUAUAAUAAGACACAUCAAUGUACUCAACACAAUACGAAGGACUUGACAUCUCAUUCGUUAUGAAAAGUUGUAAAGCUAAGUGUAGCUAUGCGCCCAUGUAACGCUAAUGUGAUGGCAGGUACUCCUUUUUUAAUACUUAAUGGUAUGAAAGGUUGAGGCUUAUUCUAUCCCUACAUAAGAAAGACACAUCAAAAGCGAAAUCAAAAUUUGCUAAGUUUAGUAGGUCACAUUCCACGGGACCUAUAAUCUCACUCACUAGAAAAUGGUGAAAUUGGUACCAUUGGAAAGGUCUAUGUGUCUACUUUCCAGGGACACCAACCAUUUGAUCAUACCUAUCAUAUUGAGUGAGUUAUGUCUGUUUUCGUAAAGUAGGACGAAUCUGUCCGAGAAUCUGAUUUUGGCAAAACAGUCAACUUCGACGGGACUUUGUGAAUAGCUGCUGACGAACCAGAAUGUGUGUAAUAUACGGUUGGAAAGCUAAAUGAGUCUAGUUUGCAAAACCGUUUAUGGUUCAUUCAUAUGUAUUUCCUAGAGGAAGUUAAGGCUGUUCUAGUAACUGAAGGUCAUGCUGUGCGGAAAUCUGAUUUCAUGCACGAACUUAUGUUUUGAGUUCACAAGCGGCCUUCUCCUCAAGAUCUAAGUGUAAAAGAUCAUGUUUGAGGACAAUUCAGCAUGAUCAAGAUAAUCAUUGUCUAAUGCCACAUUUGAAGACAUGUUAAAGAGCAUUGACAUGCUAAGUUGUUGAAAUUUCCGUGAUUAGUAAAAAUCAGGAAGAGCCCUAUGAUUGAUGUAAAGAUCAGGAGGAGGUGCGAACUUUAAGGGGAGUCUAGCAUAUACAUGUCACUAUCAAAUGUGAAGGGUGCAUUGUACUUUUUUUCUCCUACGAUCAAGGUUUAGUUUUUCUCCCACAUGGUUUUUGUUCUUUGAGGAGGUUUUUAACGAGACGACAUAUUAGCACCACCGGCAUACCGGCGCGCGGCACAAAGGGGAGUGUUCUAGGAUAUUCCAUAUGUGUGUCUUGGCCUUAUGCCAUCAGGAUAUGUAGUUGGAAUAUGACUAUGUGUUCCUUAUCAUUACCAUAUUGGUAUUUUGUAAUUCCCUAUAUAUGAGGUAUUGUCCCAUAUUCUGAAACACCUAAUAAUAUGUUAGUCAGAUUUGCUGAUGCUGGGUAUCUCUUUGACCACACAAAGGACGUUCUCAAACUGGUUAUGUGUUCACCAUUAGGACUACGACGAUUUCUUGAAGAUCUACCAAGCAAACCCUUGUUGCUACUUCCUCGAAUCAUUCAGAGAUUAUUGCACUACAUGAAGCAGUCAAAGAAUGUGUUUGGCUUUGCUCUGUGGUAGCUCAUAUUUGAGAAAUCUAGUGGGUUGACAUCUACCACUAAAGCACCAACUUGCAUCUAUGAAGACAAUGCGGCAUGCAUUGAACAAAUGAAGUUGGGAUUCAUCAAGGGUGAUAAUAUUAAACAUAUCUCGCCUAAGUUCUUCUACAAUCAGCAACAGCAACAACAACAGCUUUUGAAUAUCCAGGUGAACCAAGUCAGUUCCGAGGAUAAUGUAGCAGAAUUUGUUCACCAAGUAUCUACUCAAAUCUACUCUUGAGAAGCAUGUGCGAAGUAUUGGUAUGCGUCGCUUAUUUGAAUUCCAUGAUUUAUUGAUUAUCAGGGGGAGUUGAUUAUGUAGACAUCAAGGGGAGUCUACGACACAUGUUUUACAUUUCAAGUUGUAGUUGGCGCGUUAUUCUCUUUUUCCCUUCGACCAAGUCUUUUGUUUUUACCUAAGAGGUUUUUUGUUUUAUUUGGCAAGGUUUUUACCGAGGCAACGUUCAUACGUCAUGUGAUUCUGGUACGCAACAUAAGGAAGAGUGUUAAAGGAAUUUACAUUCCUAUCCUUGAUGAUGUGUCUUGACCGAAUCUUCUCCUUAUUAGACUAGAAUAUCUCUUAGAUAUCUAUCCCUGAUUUACAGGGAUUCUCUAUGUAAUGCCUAUAUAAAGGCCAAUCUAUCAAUGAAUGAGUAGACCAUUAUUCUCGUAUUCUCGUAUUCUUUAUCAGGAUCCCUAUUUUUUGUCACUUUUAGGGAUAUGCCAACACCAUUAGAUCUGUUUUUUAAUGGGCUUGGAUAACUGAGAUUAAAACAAAAAACUUAACACUUAUGUCAAACCUACACCGUUCAAGAUCAUUAAAAAUAAAUCAAACAUUUGGUUGAUUUAAUGAUAAACAAAUUUUCUGAAAAUUUGCAUAAAUGAUCUACUCAUAUAGACCUACAAACUGAACGGUGGAGGUGUGAUUUAGUGAACGGAAAGUUUGUCAAAUACCCUAUC